This 65-nucleotide transfer RNA is filed under the name Dipodomys ordii (Ord's kangaroo rat). It matches the Rfam family "tRNA". From Rfam's summary of the family: Transfer RNA (tRNA) molecules are approximately 80 nucleotides in length. Their secondary structure includes four short double-helical elements and three loops (D, anti-codon, and T loops). Lineage: Eukaryota; Metazoa; Chordata; Mammalia; Rodentia; Heteromyidae. The record is from Rfam by way of RNAcentral.
GGUGGCUCAGUGGUAGAGUGCUUGCCUUGCAUGCAUGUGGACCUGGGUUCAAUUCCUCAGCACCA